Non-coding RNA from Cinara cedri, 218 nucleotides. NCBI's taxonomy places the organism in Eukaryota, Metazoa, Arthropoda, Insecta, Hemiptera, Aphididae. The record is from the annotation of a GenBank genome assembly.
CAGUGCACGCCACUCAUAAGACUCGCUGAUAUAAGGUCCAGUCGCCCAGCACGUAUCGGAAUCCGUUUAAAAAAAAGUCCGUUAUAAUGAUCACCACGUCAGUUACAAGAGUCAAAUUUUUCUCAACGAAUUUCCGAUUUCGCAAAAUUAUAAAUAAUAUCAAACCAAACCCAACGUGGAUAAAGAAACGCGCGUAGCGGUUACCACGCAUUACUUUC